AUUAGGGUCAUGAAGAGAUGAUUGUCUGCAUAAGAUAUCGAGUGGAAUAUCUUGUUAGAGAAAUUUAUAAAUCAAAGAAGAACAUUAAUUUUUGUGCUUGGAUCAGUCACCGGUAAAGGUAAGAAUCUCUGUACAUGAUCAUCAUUAUAUAUGUUAUUUUAUCAUUGGUUUUAUUUCAUUGAUUUUGCAUCGUUGGAUUUGAGAUCGAUGAAUUUGUUAUAUCUGAGA
This 228-nucleotide long non-coding RNA is filed under the name Elaeis guineensis (African oil palm). Its description in RNAcentral is "long non-coding RNA (EGUI_LNC079052)". The record is from RNAcentral. Lineage: Eukaryota; Viridiplantae; Streptophyta; Magnoliopsida; Arecales; Arecaceae.